UUACAGGUGUGAGCCACCUUGCCCAGUGUGCAAAGUACAUUUUUUAAAAAUAAGAAAACACCUUCCGUUGGUCCAGGAAUAUGUAUUGAGAUCCACUAGUGCCAGGCACUGGGCAAGGCUCUGGGGACGGGGUGAAGUUCCUGCUUUCCUGGGUCUGAAGCUCUAGCGGGGAACACAGGCGAUAAGCCCAGAAACAGAUGAAAAAAUACGGCGCAUUCCAGCGACGGUCAGGGCAGAAAGAGAUAAGAACUAAGAACGUCAAUGUUUGUUCUCGGGUUCAAAGAAGUCAGCGUCUUUGGCGGGAGCUGGGCCACCAUCGCCCGGACCACGCUGGGGUGCUAAGUGCUCACAUCCUCCCCAGCACUGUCCUCAACAGCCAAGAGGCAGGCACAGGGGAAAACCCACCAGCAACACCAGCACCACAGCGUCCACACCCGCCGAGGAUGCUGCACAAAAGGCCCAUGGACCAGGGUGCCUGGGGGCAGGGCAUGCUGGGCACCGUCCAUCUUCUGGCAGCUUCUGGUUAACCCGAAAAUCCUGUUUGGUUUUCCUGUGUCUUUUGAGAAUGUCACUCAAACCCCUGAAUCCUCUCUGUGAUCUAAGUGUCAUGAGGCCUGCAAAACCUCGCUUCCUGCAGCAGACUUCUCCGCUUCCUGGCCCCCAUGAAGACUGUUAUCCACAAGUAGCCAGAGGGAUUCUGUAAAAAUCAAAGUCAGGGCAGGGCCCUCCUCUGCUCAAAACCCUCCCAUGGCUCCCUACUUCACUCAGGGAGGAAGCCACGCCCAUAUUGUAGCCUCUUCCACCUCUCACACUCAUUGCACAGGCGGCCACCAAGCCCCUUUCUACCCCAGUGCCUUUGCACUUGCCACCCCCUUACUUCAUUGCAAUCCCUUCUUAGCAGAGAGGCUGACCCUGAAUUCCCUCCUGAAAUAGUGACCCUUCUCAAAUAAGUCUCCCCUCGCCUUGCCUUAUUUGUCUUCAUAUCUGUUCGUCACUACCUGACAUGUUAGAUAUUUAUUAUUUUCUCUCUUGCCGUUGGGCCUAAGUUCCCAGGGCCUCUCAUGUUUCUCCAGCGCCCAGAGGCUGACUGGCUUAUGGAGUGAGCGCAAUCAUUUCCUUUUGUGUGUGAAUAAAUGAAAGAAUCUUGGA
Molecule: long non-coding RNA, 1149 nt
Organism: Homo sapiens (human)
Lineage: Eukaryota; Metazoa; Chordata; Mammalia; Primates; Hominidae
Exons: 2
Source: RefSeq, a predicted model, not a curated record